UAAGGAAUAUUGGUCAAUGGACGGAAGUCUGAACCAGCCAUGCCGCGUGCAGGAAGACGGCCCUACGGGUUGUAAACUGCUUUUACAGGGGAAUAAACCUCAUUACGUGUAAUGAGCUGAAUGUACUCUGAGAAUAAGGAUCGGCUAACUCCGUGCCAGCAGCCGCGGUAAUACGGAGGAUCCGAGCGUUAUCCGGAUUUAUUGGGUUUAAAGGGUGCGUAGGUGGCCUGUUAAGUCAGGGGUGAAAGACGGUAGCUCAACUAUCGCAGUGCCCUUGAUACUGAUGGGCUUGAAUGAACUAGAGGUAGGCGGAAUGUGACAAGUAGCGGUGAAAUGCAUAGAUAUGUCACAGAACACCAAUUGCGAAGGCAGCUUACUAUGGUUUUAUUGACACUGAGGCACGAAAGCGUGGGGAUCAAACA
Molecule: ribosomal RNA, 422 nt
Filed under: uncultured Mucilaginibacter sp.
Lineage: Bacteria; Pseudomonadati; Bacteroidota; Sphingobacteriia; Sphingobacteriales; Sphingobacteriaceae
Description: bacterial SSU rRNA
Rfam family: Bacterial small subunit ribosomal RNA
Source: RNAcentral